RNAcentral lists this unclassified non-coding RNA (430 nucleotides) under soil metagenome. RNAcentral's name for it is "partial contains 5.8S ribosomal RNA, internal transcribed spacer 2, and large subunit ribosomal RNA". The stretch from base 1 to 119 matches the Rfam family "5.8S ribosomal RNA", at positions 35 to 154 of the family's 154-position model. The record is from RNAcentral.
GAUGAAGAACGUAGCGAAAUGCGAUAAGUAAUGCGAAUUGCAGAAUCCGUGAGUCAUCGAAUCUUUGAACGCACAUUGCACUCUCUGGUAUUCCGGAGAGUAUGCUUGUUUGAGUAUCUGUAAACAUCUCAAAUCUCUCUUCAAUUGCUUCAAUUGGGUCGAGAGAAUUGGAUUUGAGCGAUCCCGACUCCUUCGUCAGAAAGAGGAGGGUCGCUUGAAAUGCAGGUGCAGCUGGACAUUCUUCUGAGCAAAAAGCAUAUCUAUUUAGUCCCGUCAAACGCAUUAUUACUUUUGCUUCAGCUAAUAUAAAGGUUGAAUGAACUACCAACGCUGAUUGCAGGAAAACAUGUUCGUUUAUUCGGACUUGUAAACUCGAUCUCAAAUCAAGUAAGACUACCCGCUGAACUUAAGCAUAUCAAUAAGCGGAGGA